GUGUGACAGGGUCAUCCCGAGUGCCGACCGCUGAGGUUGGCUUUUACCCAGUCUAGAAAGCUGGGGGAAUAAGGAGAGAGCAAGUCUGGUGUCAGCCGCCGCGGUAAUACCAGCUCUCCGAGUGGUGUGGACGUUUAUUGGGCCUAAAGCAUCCGUAGCUGGCUGAACAAGUCCCCUGUUAAACCCACCGAUUUAAUCGUUGGCUUGCGGGGGAUACUGCUCGGCUAGGGGACGAGAGAGGCAGACGGUAUUCCCGGGGUAGGGGUGAAAUCCUAUAAUCCCGGGAAGACCACCAGUGGCGAAGGCUGUCUGCUAGAACGCGCCCGACGGUGAGGGAUGAAAGCUGGGGGAGCGAACCGGAUUAGAUACCCGGGUAGUCCCAGCUGUAAACGAUGCAGGCUAGGUGUUUGGACGGCCACGUGCCGUUCUAGUGCCGCAGGGAAGCUGUUAAGCCUGCCGCCUGGGGAGUACGGUCGCAAGAUUGAAACUUAAAGGAAUUGGCGGGGGAGCAC
RNAcentral lists this ribosomal RNA (512 nucleotides) under uncultured archaeon GA02. RNAcentral describes it as "bacterial SSU rRNA". It matches the Rfam family "Archaeal small subunit ribosomal RNA", at positions 365 to 879 of the family's 1478-position model. The record is from RNAcentral.